This 626-nucleotide ribosomal RNA is filed under the name Aureoboletus sp. Its description in RNAcentral is "partial large subunit ribosomal RNA". It matches the Rfam family "Eukaryotic large subunit ribosomal RNA", at positions 40 to 652 of the family's 3401-position model. RNAcentral also lists the same sequence under 1 other name. Lineage: Eukaryota; Fungi; Basidiomycota; Agaricomycetes; Boletales; Boletaceae. The record is from RNAcentral.
AUAUCAAUAAGCGGAGGAAAAGAAACUAACAAGGAUUCCCCUAGUAACUGCGAGUGAAGAGGGAAAAGCUCAAAUUUUGAAUCUGGCGGUCAUUUCGACCGUCCGAAUUGUAAUCUAGAGAAGCGUUUUCCGCGCUGGACCGUGUACAAGUCUCCUGGAAGGGAGCGUCAUAGAGGGUGAGAAUCCCGUCUUUGACACGGACUGCCAGUCGCUAUGUGAUGCGCUCUCGACGAGUCGAGUUGUUUGGGAAUGCAGCUCAAAAUGGGUGGUAAAUUCCAUCUAAAGCUAAAUACAGGCGAGAAACCGAUAGCGAACAAGUACCGUGAGGGAAAGAUGAAAAGAACUUUGAAAAGAGAGUUAAACAGUAUGUGAAAUUGCUGAAAGGGAAACACUUGAUGUCAGUCACGUCGGCCAGGAAUCAACCUUGCUUAAUCGUCAGGAGCACUUCCUGGUCGACGGGUCAGCAUCAGUUUCGAUUCCGUCAUACAAUGGUAGAGGGAAUGUGACAUCCUCCGGGAUGUGUUAUAGCCUUUUGUCAUAUGUGGCGGUCGGGACUGAGGAACUCGGCAUGAUUCCUUUUGGGAUUCGUGUCAAGGAUGCUGGCAUAAUGGCCUUAAGUGACCCGU